This 260-nucleotide unclassified non-coding RNA is filed under the name uncultured Ascomycota. RNAcentral describes it as "sequence contains 5.8S rRNA gene, ITS2, 28S rRNA gene". The stretch from base 1 to 52 matches the Rfam family "5.8S ribosomal RNA", at positions 103 to 154 of the family's 154-position model. Lineage: Eukaryota; Fungi; Ascomycota. The record is from RNAcentral.
AACGCACAUUGCACCCGGUGGUAUUCCGCCGGGUAUGCCUGUCUGAGCGUCAUUUCUACCCUCAAGCCCCGCUUGGUGUUGGUGGAUUACUUUCCCCCCACAGGGGAGAGUAACCACUGAAAAUGAAUGGCGGUAGCACAUUUGUCCCCUGUACAGUACAAUUCUUACAGAGAGUCACUUGGGCCCACCAGCCUCACUACCAAAAACUUUUUUCCAGUAAAGUUGACCUCAGAUCAGGUAGGAAUACCCGCUGAACUUAA